Long non-coding RNA from Hordeum vulgare subsp. vulgare (domesticated barley), 726 nucleotides. RefSeq lists it as uncharacterized. The record is from RefSeq and is a predicted model, not a curated record. NCBI's taxonomy places the organism in Eukaryota, Viridiplantae, Streptophyta, Magnoliopsida, Poales, Poaceae. The transcript is spliced from 4 exons.
UGCCAGGCCAUUACCUUAGGCGGACGAUUGCAUUUCUGUAGUUUCUGUUGAUGCCAUCUAACAUAUUAAACUAUAACCUCUGAUUACUUCAACUCAACAGGCUGAUGGGUUACUACAUACUACCUGUGGGACACCGAACUAUGUUGCUCCUGAGGUUAUUGAAGAUAAGGGCUAUGAUGGUGCGUUUGCAGACCUUUGGUCUUGUGGGGUAAUUCUUUUUGUGAUGCUUGCUGGAUACCUGCCUUUUGAGGAUGACAACGUCUCAGCCCUUUAUAAAAAGAUCUUUGGAGCUCAUUUUACUUGUCCCUCUUGGUUUUCUGAUGGAGCUAAAAGACUGAUUCCCAGGAUUCUGGAUCCUAAUCCAUCAACUCGUAUAACUAUCCCUCAACUAUUAAAAGAUCCAUGGUUCAAAAAAGGGUACAAGAAGGGAGUCGGCGAGGCGGCCGUAGUGGAUGUCGUCGAGGAGGUCGUAGGCGUCGUGGGUAACUUACACAGAAGGUCAGAAACCAAUUCAAAUGGUUUCAGUACAGCUGUACAACCAGCUGCUAGAAAAGGAAAUUACCUUCUAUAUAGCUAUCAGGUUCAGGAAAGGAUAUUUCAGUGUGAAAUUGUGUGAUACAUGCAUAGUAUUUUCACUCUGUUCAAAUGGCAUCCGGAGGAAUUCCUGGUGAUUUAAAUUUAACUGUUAGACCGAAGAUGAAUGAGAUGUUGAUGUUCCUAGUCAUA